This 91-nucleotide transfer RNA is filed under the name Leeia aquatica. RNAcentral describes it as "tRNA-Ser". It matches the Rfam family "tRNA". From Rfam's summary of the family: Transfer RNA (tRNA) molecules are approximately 80 nucleotides in length. Lineage: Bacteria; Pseudomonadati; Pseudomonadota; Betaproteobacteria; Neisseriales; Leeiaceae. The record is from RNAcentral. RNAcentral also lists the same sequence under 1 other name.
GGAAAGGUGGAUGAGUGGUUUAAGUCGCACGCCUGGAAAGCGUGUUUAGGGUAACACCCUAACGGGGGUUCGAAUCCCCCCCUUUCCGCCA